CCAGCAGCCGCGGUAAUUCCAGCUCCAAGAGUGUAUAUUAAAGUUGUUGCGGUUGAAAAGCUCGUAGUUGGAUUUAUGCUAUGCUGGUACAGUCGACCCCCUGGGUAGGACUUGUAUUGUUGCAUUGCACAUUGUAGAAUUUUUGUACGUUUUUCAGUAAAUGUGCAGAAUGCUGCUUAGUUACUUUGAGGAAAGUGGAGUGUCACACGCAGGUUGCGCCGUGAACAUGCUAGCAUGGCAUGACGCUGUAUGACUACGAGUCUUUUUGAAUGGUUUCGGGACACGUGGUAAUGAUUGAUAUGAGGUGUUGGGGAUACUCAUAUUUGACAGUUAGAGGUGAAAUUCUUGGAUUUGUCAAAGAUGAACAAAUGCAAUAGCAUUUAUCAUGGAUGUUUCAUUUGAUCAAG
Molecule: ribosomal RNA, 407 nt
Filed under: uncultured eukaryote
Lineage: Eukaryota
Description: SSU rRNA
Rfam family: Eukaryotic small subunit ribosomal RNA
Source: RNAcentral